UCAAACUUGGUCAUUUAGAGGAAGUAAAAGUCGUAACAAGGUAACCGUAGGUGAACCUGCGGUUGGAUCAUUACUGAGAUGAGGUUGUGGCAAAGUCCUUUUGGGCUUGUCUCGCAUCCUUUUACACCUGUGCACUGUGACUGUAUUUGGCAAGUAAGAAAGGGCAUGUCUGUCCUUUUCGAGUUUCGCUUCGGCAGAUUUUCUGCUGAGGGUUGAAAGCUUGCCGAUUUAUAUACUAUUUUUGAGUUUGUGAGCCUGAACAAUGCAAAAUACAAAAUGCAUGAAACAACUUUUGGCAACGGAUCUCUAGGCUCUCGCAUCGAUGAAGAACGCAGC
Molecule: unclassified non-coding RNA, 336 nt
Filed under: uncultured fungus
Lineage: Eukaryota; Fungi
Description: partial contains small subunit ribosomal RNA, internal transcribed spacer 1, and 5.8S ribosomal RNA
Rfam family: Eukaryotic small subunit ribosomal RNA (bases 1-73)
Source: RNAcentral